AAUAAUAUAAGUGAAUAUGUGAGACGAGGCAUAUUGAACAGUACAUGGAUGAGCGUUAAUAUUGUACUAGUGAUAUUAUAGAUGGAUAUAGAUUAAAGUUUAACCUUAAUCGUAAAUAUUCUGAUCAUGUCAAGUGUUGAAGGAUGUCUAACGUUUUUCGUCAAUGGGAAAAAGAUCACUGAACAAAAUCCAGAUCCAAGAGGAACAUUGUUACAGUACCUUCGACGAAAUUUAUGUUUGCCAGGGACAAAAGAAGGGUGUGGUCAUGGGGGAUGUGGCUCAUGUACCGUUAUGGUGUCAAAAUACGACUUCAAUAAGAAGUCUAUUCAGUAUCCU
Long non-coding RNA from Mercenaria mercenaria, 336 nucleotides. RefSeq lists it as uncharacterized. The transcript has 3 exons. NCBI's taxonomy places the organism in Eukaryota, Metazoa, Mollusca, Bivalvia, Venerida, Veneridae. The record is from RefSeq and is a predicted model, not a curated record.